UUCAAUGAACUGUAAAGAAAUAUGGAAACAUGUAUAUUAUCUUCUAAUAAGAGCUUCACUUGUAACAUGUACUUCUUUAUAACCAAAUAUUGUGAAGAGGGACUAACUUUACUAAAAUAAGAUGGUAACAUUUUGGCUUCUUCCUGGUUAUUUGACAUGUAAUCGCACAUAACAGGAUUCAUAAAUUACAGAGGGUAACAGUAUGGAGUUAAAAUUUGCCAAAAUCAUUGACAUGUUAGUUGUUGUGAGCUGUCAGCUAAAAAGAAGGGACAAAAGAAUAUGCAACAUCCACAAGGGGAAUCAUAGCAUAAGAAGAGCAAGAUAGUCACAUGCUAGUUAUCUACUCCCUCCGUUCCAAAUUAGAUGACCCAACUUUGUACUAACUUUGUACUAAGUACAAAGUUGGGUCAUCUAUUUUGGAACGGAGGGAGUAGAUGACAGUAGGCCCAAUCAAGAUGGCUGGAUAGAGGGUAGCAUUCGCCUAUAUGGAUGUACUGGG
RNAcentral lists this long non-coding RNA (499 nucleotides) under Triticum aestivum (bread wheat). RNAcentral's name for it is "long non-coding RNA (TAES_LNC023051)". The record is from RNAcentral. Lineage: Eukaryota; Viridiplantae; Streptophyta; Magnoliopsida; Poales; Poaceae.